UACGGAGGGUGCAAGCGUUAUCCGGAUUUACUGGGUUUAAAGGGUGUGUAGGCGGACCAUUAAGUCAGCGGUGAAAUCUCCGGGCUCAACCCGGAAACUGCCAUUGAUACUAUUGGUCUUGAAUGUUGUUGAGGUGGGCGGAACGGGUCAUGUAGCGGUGAAAUGCAUAGAUAUGACCCGGAACACCGAUUGCGAAGGCAGCCCACUAAGCAACGAUUGACGCUGAGGCACGAAAGCGUGGGGAUCAAACAGGG
RNAcentral lists this ribosomal RNA (254 nucleotides) under uncultured bacterium. Its description in RNAcentral is "partial 16S ribosomal RNA". It matches the Rfam family "Bacterial small subunit ribosomal RNA", at positions 524 to 777 of the family's 1533-position model. The record is from RNAcentral.